Weissella confusa LBAE C39-2 is the source of this 144-nucleotide non-coding RNA. The record is from Rfam. NCBI's taxonomy places the organism in Bacteria, Bacillati, Bacillota, Bacilli, Lactobacillales, Lactobacillaceae.
AUAAAUCUUCGGGGCAGGGUGAAAUUCCCGACCGACGGUGAUGGCGUAUGCCUCAGUCCGUGACCCGCAAAGCUAGUUUAGCGAUGCGGUUGAUGCAGUGUGAAUCUGCAACCGACAGUAAAGUCUGGAUGGGAGAAGAUAUCA